UUUGGAAUUGAGUUGUGCCUUUCUCAUGUCAUGGUCAUUCCAAUCCUUUUCGAGUUUGGGUACAGUGACACCCUCUACAUAGAUGGAUGGGAUGUAUGGUCUAUUUACUAUAAUGGUCCACAUCUCAUAGUCUUGGGCUUGGAUAAAUAUUCUCAUCCUAGCCUUCCAAUAUGAGUAGUCGGAUCCAUUAAAGAAUGGGGGUCUUUGGGUGGACUGACCCUCAAUGUGGGAAGAUCCAAAUGGGGUUGUCAUUUUGAUCUUUUACUCUUGGGGUAGAAGAGUUUAGGCUCUGAUACCACUUGUUGCCCAGAUAGACAACCCAAGAGAGGGGGUGAAUUGGGUUUUAAAAUAAUUUUGCAAUUAAAACGUUUGUGGAUGACUAAUUAAUACUUUUGCAAGAUGAUUAAUUAGUUGCUA
RNAcentral lists this long non-coding RNA (417 nucleotides) under Phoenix dactylifera (date palm). RNAcentral describes it as "long non-coding RNA (PDAC_LNC020247)". The record is from RNAcentral. Lineage: Eukaryota; Viridiplantae; Streptophyta; Magnoliopsida; Arecales; Arecaceae.